RNAcentral lists this non-coding RNA (809 nucleotides) under Bactrocera ruiliensis. The record is from RNAcentral. Lineage: Eukaryota; Metazoa; Arthropoda; Insecta; Diptera; Tephritidae.
AUUUUAUAAUUUAAUUAAUAUUAAAGUUUUAUUUUGGCUUUGAAUUUUAUUAUUGAUUUAUUUUAUAUGUAAGUUUUUGCGUGUAUUUUUGUUUAUUUAAAUAGUAAAUAAAAUUUAAUUAUAUUCUCAGUAAAUAGUAUUAUUAAUCAAAGAAAUUUGGAAAUAGUAAUUUCAUAGAGUAUUGGCUAAAUUUGUGCCAGCAGCCGCGGUUACACAAAUAAUACAAAUAAAAUUUGUUCAGUGUGAGUUAAAUUUUAUUAUAUAAAAAUAAUAUUAGAUUUAUUAGGUGAAAUUUUAAAUCUAAAAAUUUUUAUUAUGAAGGUUUUGAAGCUUGUAAAUUUUAUUUAUAAACUAGGAUUAGAUACCCUAUUAUUUAAAAUGUAAUUUCAAUCACUAAGGUAGUAGUAGUUAUGUUCUUGAAACUUAAAAAAUUUGGCGGUAUUUUAGUCUAUUCAGAGGAACCUGUCCUGUAAUUGAUAAUCCACGAUGAACCUCACUUAAAUUUGUUUUUCAGUUUAUAUACCGUCGUUAUCAGAAUAUUUUAUUAGAAUAAUAAUUUUCUAUAAUUUUUAUAAGAAUUUAUAUCAGAUCAAGGUGUAGCUUAUGUUUAAGUAGAGAUGGGUUACAAUAAAUUUAUUUAAACGGAUCUAAUUUUGAAAUGUUUAGUGAAGGUGGAUUUGAUAGUAAAAUUUUAAAGAUUGUUAAUUUGAUUUUAGCUCUAGAAUAUGCACACAUCGCCCGUCGCUCUUGCUAUUAAGGUAAGAUAAGUCGUAACAUAGUAGAUGUACCGGAAGGUGUAUCUAGAAUGA